GGACUACUGGGGUAUCUAAUCCUGUUUGCUCCCCACGCUUUCGUGCAUGAGCGUCAGUACAGGCCCAGGGGGCUGCCUUCGCCAUCGAUGUUCCUCCUGAUAUCUACGCAUUUCACUGCUACACCAGGAAUUCCACCCCCCUCUGCCGUACUCCAGUCACACAGUCACAAACGCAGUUCCCAGGUUGAGCCCGGGGAUUUCACAUCUGUCUUAUGUAACCGCCUGCGCACGCUUUACGCCCAGUAAUUCCGAUUAACGCUCGCACCCUACGUAUUACCGCGGCUGCUGGCAC
This 292-nucleotide ribosomal RNA is filed under the name uncultured bacterium. RNAcentral's name for it is "partial 16S ribosomal RNA". The record is from RNAcentral.